UACGGGAGGCACCAGUGGGGAAUAUUGGACAAUGGGGCCAACCCUGAUCCACCAAUGCCGCGUGAGUGAUAAAGCCUUUCGGGUUGUAAAGCACUUUCAGUAGGGAGGAAAGGGUAAUGGCUAAUAUCCAUUAUCAUUGACGUUACCUACAGAAGCAGCACCGGCUAACUUCGUGCCAGCAGCCGCGGUAAUACGAAGGGUGCAAGCGUUAAUCGGAAUUAC
RNAcentral lists this ribosomal RNA (222 nucleotides) under uncultured bacterium. RNAcentral's name for it is "partial 16S ribosomal RNA". It matches the Rfam family "Bacterial small subunit ribosomal RNA", at positions 340 to 554 of the family's 1533-position model. The record is from RNAcentral.